GACGAACGCUGGCGGCGUGCUUAACACAUGCAAGUCGAGCGGAAAACUUCGGUUUUCAGCGGCGGACGGGUGAGUAACACGUGGGCAACCUGCCUCACAAUGAGGGAUAGCCUUCCGAAAGGAAGAUUAAUACCUCAUAACACAAGAGAAACGCAUGUUUCUCUUGCCAAAGAAUUUCGUUGUGAGAUGGGCCCGCGGCGCAUUAGCUUGUUGGUGAGGUAACGGCUCACCAAGGCUUCGAUGCGUAGCCGACCUGAGAGGGUGAUCGGCCACAUUGGAACUGAGACACGGUCCAGACUCCUACGGGAGGCAGCAGUGGGGAAUAUUGCACAAUGGAGGAAACUCUGAUGCAGCAACGCCGCGUGAGUGAUGAAGGUCUUCGGAUUGUAAAGCUCUGUCUUCUGGGACGAUAAUGACGGUACCAGAGGAGGAAGCCACGGCUAACUACGUGCCAGCCGCCGCCGUAA
This 467-nucleotide ribosomal RNA is filed under the name uncultured bacterium. RNAcentral's name for it is "partial 16S ribosomal RNA". It matches the Rfam family "Bacterial small subunit ribosomal RNA", at positions 28 to 523 of the family's 1533-position model. The record is from RNAcentral.